AAAUUGAAGAGUUUGAUCAUGGCUCAGAUUGAACGCUGGCGGCAGGCCUAACACAUGCAAGUCGAACGGUAACAGGAAGCAGCUUGCUGCUUUGCUGACGAGUGGCGGACGGGUGAGUAAUGUCUGGGAAACUGCCUGAUGGAGGGGGAUAACUACUGGAAACGGUAGCUAAUACCGCAUAAUGUCGCAAGACCAAAGAGGGGGACCUUCGGGCCUCUUGCCAUCGGAUGUGCCCAGAUGGGAUUAGCUAGUAGGUGGGGUAACGGCUCACCUAGGCGACGAUCCCUAGCUGGUCUGAGAGGAUGACCAGCCACACUGGAACUGAGACACGGUCCAGACUCCUACGGGAGGCAGCAGUGGGGAAUAUUGCACAAUGGGCGCAAGCCUGAUGCAGCCAUGCCGCGUGUAUGAAGAAGGCCUUCGGGUUGUAAAGUACUUUCAGCGGGGAGGAAGGGAGUAAAGUUAAUACCUUUGCUCAUUGACGUUACCCGCAGAAGAAGCACCGGCUAACUCCGUGCCAGCAGCCGCGGUAAUACGGAGGGUGCAAGCGUUAAUCGGAAUUACUGGGCGUAAAGCGCACGCAGGCGGUUUGUUAAGUCAGAUGUGAAAUCCCCGGGCUCAACCUGGGAACUGCAUCUGAUACUGGCAAGCUUGAGUCUCGUAGAGGGGGGUAGAAUUCCAGGUGUAGCGGUGAAAUGCGUAGAGAUCUGGAGGAAUACCGGUGGCGAAGGCGGCCCCCUGGACGAAGACUGACGCUCAGGUGCGAAAGCGUGGGGAGCAAACAGGAUUAGAUACCCUGGUAGUCCACGCCGUAAACGAUGUCGACUUGGAGGUUGUGCCCUUGAGGCGUGGCUUCCGGAGCUAACGCGUUAAGUCGACCGCCUGGGGAGUACGGCCGCAAGGUUAAAACUCAAAUGAAUUGACGGGGGCCCGCACAAGCGGUGGAGCAUGUGGUUUAAUUCGAUGCAACGCGAAGAACCUUACCUGGUCUUGACAUCCACAGAACUUUCCAGAGAUGGAUUGGUGCCUUCGGGAACUGUGAGACAGGUGCUGCAUGGCUGUCGUCAGCUCGUGUUGUGAAAUGUUGGGUUAAGUCCCGCAACGAGCGCAACCCUUAUCCUUUGUUGCCAGCGGUCCGGCCGGGAACUCAAAGGAGACUGCCAGUGAUAAACUGGAGGAAGGUGGGGAUGACGUCAAGUCAUCAUGGCCCUUACGACCAGGGCUACACACGUGCUACAAUGGCGCAUACAAAGAGAAGCGACCUCGCGAGAGCAAGCGGACCUCAUAAAGUGCGUCGUAGUCCGGAUUGGAGUCUGCAACUCGACUCCAUGAAGUCGGAAUCGCUAGUAAUCGUGGAUCAGAAUGCCACGGUGAAUACGUUCCCGGGCCUUGUACACACCGCCCGUCACACCAUGGGAGUGGGUUGCAAAAGAAGUAGGUAGCUUAACCUUCGGGAGGGCGCUUACCACUUUGUGAUUCAUGACUGGGGUGAAGUCGUAACAAGGUAACCGUAGGGGAACCUGCGGUUGGAUCACCUCCUUA
Molecule: ribosomal RNA, 1542 nt
Filed under: Escherichia coli
Lineage: Bacteria; Pseudomonadati; Pseudomonadota; Gammaproteobacteria; Enterobacterales; Enterobacteriaceae
Description: bacterial SSU rRNA
Rfam family: Bacterial small subunit ribosomal RNA
Source: RNAcentral